RNAcentral lists this ribosomal RNA (647 nucleotides) under Neofusicoccum parvum. RNAcentral's name for it is "eukaryotic LSU rRNA". The stretch from base 301 to 454 matches the Rfam family "5.8S ribosomal RNA". Lineage: Eukaryota; Fungi; Ascomycota; Dothideomycetes; Botryosphaeriales; Botryosphaeriaceae. The record is from RNAcentral.
GCCCCGGGCGGAUCCCGGCCCCCCCAAUGCGACGAGGUACGUACACCAUGGGGGGAGAGGCCAGCAGCAGCAAUCAACACGGGAAAAAACCUUCCGUAGGUGAACCUGCGGAAGGAUCAUUACCGAGUUGAUUCGAGCUCCGGCUCGACUCUCCCACCCAAUGUGUACCUACCUCUGUUGCUUUGGCGGGCCGCGGUCCUCCGCACCGGCGCCCUUCGGGGGGCUGGCCAGCGCCCGCCAGAGGACCAUAAAACUCCAGUCAGUGAACUUCGCAGUCUGAAAAACAAGUUAAUAAACUAAAACUUUCAACAACGGAUCUCUUGGUUCUGGCAUCGAUGAAGAACGCAGCGAAAUGCGAUAAGUAAUGUGAAUUGCAGAAUUCAGUGAAUCAUCGAAUCUUUGAACGCACAUUGCGCCCCUUGGUAUUCCGAGGGGCAUGCCUGUUCGAGCGUCAUUUCAACCCUCAAGCUCUGCUUGGUAUUGGGCCCCGUCCUCCACGGACGCGCCUUAAAGACCUCGGCGGUGGCGUCUUGCCUCAAGCGUAGUAGAAAACACCUCGCUUUGGAGCGCACGGCGUCGCCCGCCGGACGAACCUUUGAAUUAUUCUCAAGGUGACCUCGGAUCAGGCACGUAUGAACCAGGCCCGA